RNAcentral lists this ribosomal RNA (2883 nucleotides) under Clostridioides difficile. Its description in RNAcentral is "bacterial LSU rRNA". It matches the Rfam family "Bacterial large subunit ribosomal RNA". Lineage: Bacteria; Bacillati; Bacillota; Clostridia; Peptostreptococcales; Peptostreptococcaceae. The record is from RNAcentral.
AGGGUGCAGGGCGGAUGCCUUGGCACUAGGAGCCGAUGAAGGACGUGAUAAGCUGCGAUAAGCUUCGGGGAGUUGCACGUAAACUUUGAUCCGAAGAUUUCCGAAUGAGGAAACUCACUUAGAGUAAUGUCUAAGUAUCAUUAAGUGAAUACAUAGCUUAAUGAGGGGAACUCAGGGAACUGAAACAUCUAAGUACCUGAAGGAAGAGAAAGAAAUUCGAUUCCGUAAGUAGCGGCGAGCGAACGCGGAUUAGCCCAAACCAAUAAAGUUUUCUUUAUUGGGGUUGCGGACAUAUCAUAACGAAGAGGUAUCGUAAUUGAAGAGGUUUGGAAAGACCCACCACAGAAGGUAAUAGUCCUGUAUGUUAAACGAGAAGACUUUAGAUAUGAUCCAGAGUACCACGGGACACGUGAAACCCUGUGGGAAGCAGGAGGGACCACCCUCCAAGGCUAAAUACUACCUAGUGACCGAUAGCGUAUAGUACCGUGAGGGAAAGGUGAAAAGAACCCCGGGAGGGGAGUGAAAUAGAACCUGAAACCCUGCACUUACAAGCUGUGGAAGCACAUUUCUUGUGUGACCGCGUACUUUUUGUAGAACGGGCCAACGAGUUACGUUAAGUAGCAAGGUUAAGCACUUAAGGUGUGGAGCCGUAGCGAAAGCGAGUUUUAACUGAGCGUUCAGUUACUUGACGUAGACCCGAAACCGGGCGACCUACCCAUGAGCAGGAUGAAGCGAAAGUAAAAUUUCGUGGAGGUCCGAACCCACGAGCGUUGAAAAGCUCGGGGAUGACUUGUGGGUAGCGGUGAAAUUCCAAUCGAGCCCGGAGAUAGCUGGUUCUCCCCGAAAUAGCUUUAGGGCUAGCCUCAAGGUGAGAGAUACGGAGGUAGAGCACUGAAUGUCCUAGGGGGUAUUGCACCUACCGAAGACUAUCAAACUCCGAAUGCCGUCAUCUUAUACUUGGGAGUCAGACUGUGGGUGAUAAGAUUCAUAGUCGAAAGGGCAACAGCCCAGAUCGUCAGCUAAGGUCCCUAAAUGUAAGUUAAGUGGUAAAGGAUGUGGGAUUGCACAGACAACCAGGAUGUUGGCUUAGAAGCAGCCACUCAUUCAAAGAGUGCGUAAUAGCUCACUGGUCGAGUGAUCCUGCGCCGAAGAUUUCCGGGGCUAAAACUUACUACCGAAGCUACGGCAUCAGUAAUGAUGGGUAGGGGAGCUUCCCAUACGGGUUGAAGCAUGACCGUAAGGACAUGUGGACAGUAUGGGAGUGAGAAUGUUGGCAUGAGUAGCGAGAUGUGGGUGAGAAUCCCACAGGCCGUAAACCCAAGGUUUCCAGGGGAAGGUUCGUCCGCCCUGGGUUAGUCGGGACCUAAGCUGAGGCCGAAAGGCGUAGGUGAUGGACAACAGGUUGAUAUUCCUGUACUACCGAUAACCGUUUGAGAGAAGGGAUGACACAGUAGGAUAAGCUAAGCACACUGUUGGUUAUGUGUGCCCAAGCAUUGAGGCAGUCAAAGUAGGCAAAUCCGCUUUGAUAAUGCUGGGAUGUGAUGGGGAGCGAAAUUUAGUAGCGAAGUAGCUGAUUUCACACUGUCAAGAAAAGUCUCUAUCGAGGUUAAAGGUACCCGUACCGCAAACCGACACAGGUGGGUGAGGAGAGUAUCCUAAGGCCAGCGAGAGAACUGUUGUUAAGGAACUCGGCAAAAUGACCCCGUAACUUAGGGAUAAGGGGUGCCACCAUCAGGUGGCCGCAGAGAAUAGGCCCAAGCGACUGUUUACCAAAAACAUAGGUUUCUGCUAAGUCGCAAGACGAUGUAUAGGAGCUGACGCCUGCCCGGUGCUGGAAGGUUAAGGGGAUCUGUUAGAGCAAUCGAAGCAGUGAACUUAAGCCCCAGUAAACGGCGGCCGUAACUAUAACGGUCCUAAGGUAGCGAAAUUCCUUGUCGGGUAAGUUCCGACCCGCACGAAAGGCGUAACGAUUUGGGCACUGUCUCAACAACAGACUCGGUGAAAUUGUAAUUCCGGUGAAGAUGCCGGAUACCUGCGACAGGACGGAAAGACCCCAUGGAGCUUUACUGUAGCUUGACAUUGGGUCUUGGUACUACAUGUACAGGAUAGGUGGGAGGCUUUGAAACCAGGACGCCAGUUUUGGCGGAGCCAUCCUUGGGAUACCACCCUUGUAGUACUGGGACUCUAACCAUAGGCCAUGAAUCUGGUCUUGGGACACUGUCAGGUGGGCAGUUUGACUGGGGCGGUCGCCUCCCAAAAGGUAACGGAGGCGCUCAAAGGUUCUCUCAGUACGGUCGGAAAUCGUACGUAGAGUGUAAAGGCAAAAGAGAGCUUGAUUGCAAGACAUACAGGUCGAGCAAGGAUGAAAAUCGGACUUAGUGAUCCGGUGGUUCUGCGUGGAAGGGCCAUCGCUCAACGGAUAAAAGCUACCCUGGGGAUAACAGGCUUAUCUCCCCCAAGAGUCCACAUCGACGGGGAGGUUUGGCACCUCGAUGUCGGCUCAUCACAUCCUGGGGCUGUAGUAGGUCCCAAGGGUUGGGCUGUUCGCCCAUUAAAGUGGUACGCGAGCUGGGUUCAGAACGUCGUGAGACAGUUCGGUCCCUAUCCGUCGCAGGCGUAGGAAAUUUGAGAAGACCUGUCCUUAGUACGAGAGGACCGGGAUGGACGUACCUCUGGUGUACCAGUUGUCCUGCCAAGGGCAUGGCUGGGUAGCUAUGUACGGAAUGGAUAAGCGCUGAAAGCAUCUAAGCGCGAAGCCAACUUCAAGAUAAGAUUUCCCACCGCAAGGGUAAGACCCCAGAAAGACUAUCUGGUUGAUAGGUCGAAGGUGUAAGUGCAGCAAUGUAUUUAGCUUAUCGAUACUAAUAGGUCGAGGACUUGACC